CGACCCCAGGUCAGGCGGGACUACCCGCUGAGUUUAAGCAUAUCAAUA
This 48-nucleotide ribosomal RNA is filed under the name Schizachne purpurascens subsp. callosa. RNAcentral describes it as "partial 26S ribosomal RNA". The record is from RNAcentral. Lineage: Eukaryota; Viridiplantae; Streptophyta; Magnoliopsida; Poales; Poaceae.